This 465-nucleotide ribosomal RNA is filed under the name uncultured bacterium. Its description in RNAcentral is "partial 16S ribosomal RNA". It matches the Rfam family "Bacterial small subunit ribosomal RNA", at positions 28 to 507 of the family's 1533-position model. The record is from RNAcentral.
GACGAACGCUGGCGGCGUGCUUAACACAUGCAAGUCGAACGGAAAGGCCCCUUUGGGGGUACUCGAGUGGCGUACGGGUGAGUAACACGUGAGUAACCUGCCCUUGACUUCGGGAUAACUUCAGGAAACUGGGGCUAAUACCGGAUAGGAAUCCUUGCUGCAUGGUGGGGGUUGGAAAGCUUCGGCGGUUUUGGAUGGACUCGCGGCUUAUCAGCUUGUUGGUGGGGUAGUGGCUUACCAAGGCUUUGACGGGUAGCCGGCCUGAGAGGGCGACCGGCCACAUUGGGACUGAGAUACGGCCCAGACUCCUACGGGAGGCAGCAGUGGGGAAUAUUGCACAAGGGGCGGAAGCCUGAUGCAGCAACGCCGCGUGCGGGAUGACGGCCUUCGGGUUGUAAACCGCUUUCAGCAGGGGCGAAGCUUGUGGUGACGGUACCUGCAGAAGAAGCACCGGCUAACUACGUG